This is a long non-coding RNA of Sapajus apella (tufted capuchin), 396 nucleotides long. RefSeq lists it as uncharacterized. Lineage: Eukaryota; Metazoa; Chordata; Mammalia; Primates; Cebidae. The record is from RefSeq and is a predicted model, not a curated record. The transcript is spliced from 2 exons.
ACAUACUCCCUAUUAGAUGUGGGGUGUGGUGGCAGCAGCCCCGAAUAUUGAGAGGAGUAGGACUCUGGGACCCCUGCUGAACAUUUGUCCAGGCAGCUCCUCUCCCUGACCAAGUGGGGGCGCUCGUGUGGCUGGCAGGGAGCCCAGGUCCAGGCCUGAGGGUUCAGGACGAGAGGCGUGAUUGGGCGGUCUCUGCUCUUCAGGAUCCACCACGGAAAUUUGACACCUCCGGGCUUGGAAGCUGCUCUCUCCUCUUUCCCCCGCUGCUUAUAAACCUCAGCCCUGAGGCUCCAGCUCGCUGCACCCCAUCUCUUUGCCCGACCCUGUGCUUCUCUGCUGGGAAGAGCAGCGCUGAGUGUGUGUGGGUGGAUGCGGGCUCAGGAGACCAGGGCCCAA